Molecule: non-coding RNA, 45 nt
Filed under: Schistosoma mansoni
Lineage: Eukaryota; Metazoa; Platyhelminthes; Trematoda; Strigeidida; Schistosomatidae
Source: RNAcentral
AUCCGACUGACGAGUCCCAAAUAGGACGAAACGCGCGUCCUGAAU